This is a long non-coding RNA of Lotus japonicus, 594 nucleotides long. RefSeq lists it as uncharacterized. Lineage: Eukaryota; Viridiplantae; Streptophyta; Magnoliopsida; Fabales; Fabaceae. The record is from RefSeq and is a predicted model, not a curated record. The transcript has 3 exons.
AUUUUCAAAAUUAACAUUAAUGAGAAGAGAGAAAAAUAGAGAUUGUUCAAGUUUCCAGAUUCUGAAGAGGGAAAUAGAGAGGCAUUGUUGAAAGGAGAGUUCACUGAUUUAGGGUUUUUCAUAUUCACCAACGGCGGACGGCGGGGUUGUCGACUAGGCAGUUCUUCAUCGUCGGCGGCGGUGAUUUGGUUCGUUGAGGGUGGCGUCUUCAUCGUCAACGUGGAUUUGAGUGAUCAUCAUGCUGGUUAAGAUGAUAUAUUGACAUAGUUAGAAAGGCACUUGUUGUGUGUGUCUAACUCCAAGGACUGGUUCAGGGAACCACAGGCAUGUAUGUCCAAUAUAGUGUAAGAAAAUUGUGGGGAAGGGAAUUUCUACUGAGCAAUAUAUAUGGAAGCAUGAAAUUGGUGAGGAUAUUGGCAUAACUCUGGUCUGCUGUCAAAAGGAAUGAUGAAGGGCUCUAUAUUGGUUGCUGCACAUUGUAAUUUUGUGAGAAGAGAGCUCAUGUUUGAUUUGUCAUAGCCAUUAUUAAGUGCUAAAUUAUAUAGGGAAGUAUCAUCUGUGAAGGCCAUCUUUUACACAACCCAAUUUAUUCUA